Non-coding RNA from Leptonychotes weddellii (Weddell seal), 198 nucleotides. Lineage: Eukaryota; Metazoa; Chordata; Mammalia; Carnivora; Phocidae. The record is from RefSeq and is a predicted model, not a curated record.
GGAUGCUACAAAAUCACCACCGUCUUUAGCCACGCACAAACGGUAGUUCUGUGUGUCGGCUGCUCCACUGUCCUCUGCCAGCCCACAGGAGGGAAAGCAAGGCUUACAGAAGGAUGCUCCUUCAGGCGGAAGCAGCACUAAAAGCACCCUGAAUCAAGAUGAGUGGGACACUAUCCCAAUAAACAGAUUUUGGAUACA